This 446-nucleotide ribosomal RNA is filed under the name uncultured bacterium. Its description in RNAcentral is "bacterial SSU rRNA". It matches the Rfam family "Bacterial small subunit ribosomal RNA", at positions 355 to 796 of the family's 1533-position model. The record is from RNAcentral.
UCGAGGAUCUUCGGCAAUGAGCGCAAGCUUGACCGAGCGACGCCGCGUGCGGGAUGAAGGCUUUCGGGUUGUAAACCGCUGUCAGUGGGGAGGAAAUUUAGGUGGGUACUCUCAUCUAAUUGACUUAUCCGCAGAGGAAGCAAGGGCUAAGUUCGUGCCAGCAGCCGCGGUAAGACGAACCUUGCUAACGUUAUUCGGAAUUACUGGGCUUAAAGGGUGCGUAGGCGGUGCAGAAAGUUGGGUGUGAAAGCCCUCGGCUCAACCGAGGAAUUGCGCCCAAAACUGCUGCACUAGAGGAAGACAGAGGUACGCGGAACUUAGGGUGGAGCGGUGAAAUGCGUUGAUAUCCUAAGGAACACCGGUGGCGAAAGCGGCGUACUGGGUCUUAUCUGACGCUGAGGCACGAAAGCUAGGGGAGCGAACGGGAUUAGAUACCCCGGUAGUCC